AUUGAACGCUGGCGGCAGGCCUAACACAUGCAAGUCGAGCGGAUGAAGGGAGCUUGCUCCUGGAUUCAGCGGCGGACGGGUGAGUAAUGCCUAGGAAUCUGCCUGGUAGUGGGGGAUAACGUCCGGAAACGGGCGCUAAUACCGCAUACGUCCUGAGGGAGAAAGUGGGGGAUCUUCGGACCUCACGCUAUCAGAUGAGCCUAGGUCGGAUUAGCUAGUUGGUGGGGUAAAGGCCUACCAAGGCGACGAUCCGUAACUGGUCUGAGAGGAUGAUCAGUCACACUGGAACUGAGACACGGUCCAGACUCCUACGGGAGGCAGCAGUGGGGAAUAUUGGACAAUGGGCGGAAGCCUGAUCCAGCCAUGCCGCGUGUGUGAAGAAGGUCUUCGGAUUGUAAAGCACUUUAAGUUGGGAGGAAGGGCAGUACGUUAAUACCUUGCUGUUUUGACGUUACCAACAGAAUAAGCACCGGCUAACUUCGUG
RNAcentral lists this ribosomal RNA (484 nucleotides) under uncultured bacterium. RNAcentral describes it as "partial 16S ribosomal RNA". It matches the Rfam family "Bacterial small subunit ribosomal RNA", at positions 30 to 507 of the family's 1533-position model. The record is from RNAcentral.